ACGGGAGGCAGCAGUGGGGAAUAUUGCACAAUGGGGGAAACCCUGAUGCAGUGACGCCGCGUGAGUGAAGAAGUAUUUCGGUAUGUAAAGCUCUAUCAGCAGGAAAGAAAAUGACGGUACCUGACUAAGAAGCCCCGGCUAACUACGUGCCAGCAGCCGCGGUAAUACGUAGGGGGCAAGCGUUAUCCGGAUUUACUGGGUGUAAAGGGAGCGUAGACGGUAAAGCAAGUCUGAAGUGAAAGGCAGGGGCUCAACCCCAGGACUGCUUUGGAAACUGUUAAACUAGAGUGCAGGAGAGGUAAGUGGAAUUCCUAGUGUAGCGGUGAAAUGCGUAGAUAUUAGGAGGAACACCAGUGGCGAAGGCGGCUUACUGGACUGUAACUGACGUUGAGGCUCGAAAGCGUGGGGAGUAAACAGGAUUAGAUACCCUGGUA
This 434-nucleotide ribosomal RNA is filed under the name uncultured Lachnospiraceae bacterium. Its description in RNAcentral is "partial 16S ribosomal RNA". It matches the Rfam family "Bacterial small subunit ribosomal RNA", at positions 341 to 792 of the family's 1533-position model. Lineage: Bacteria; Bacillati; Bacillota; Clostridia; Lachnospirales; Lachnospiraceae. The record is from RNAcentral.